AGAGUUUGAUCCUGGCUCAGGACGAACGCUGGCGGCGUGCCUAAUACAUGCAAGUUGAGCGAUGAAGAUUGGUGCUUGCACCAAUUUGAAGAGCAGCGAACGGGUGAGUAACGCGUGGGGAAUCUGCCUUUGAGCGGGGGACAACAUUUGGAAACGAAUGCUAAUACCGCAUAAUAACUUUAAACAUAAGUUUUAAGUUUGAAAGAUGCAAUUGCAUCACUCAAAGAUGAUCCCGCGUUGUAUUAGCUAGUUGGUGAGGUAAAGGCUCACCAAGGCGAUGAUACAUAGCCGACCUGAGAGGGUGAUCGGCCACAUUGGGACUGAGACACGGCCCAAACUCCUACGGGAGGCAGCAGUAGGGAAUCUUCGGCAAUGGACGAAAGUCUGACCGAGCAACGCCGCGUGAGUGAAGAAGGUUUUCGGAUCGUAAAACUCUGUUGGUAGAGAAGAACGUUGGUGAGAGUGGAAAGCUCAUCNAGUGACGGUAACUACCCAGAAAGGGACGGCUAACUACGUGCCAGCAGCCGCGGUAAU
RNAcentral lists this ribosomal RNA (534 nucleotides) under uncultured Streptococcus sp. Its description in RNAcentral is "bacterial SSU rRNA". It matches the Rfam family "Bacterial small subunit ribosomal RNA", at positions 8 to 524 of the family's 1533-position model. The record is from RNAcentral. Lineage: Bacteria; Bacillati; Bacillota; Bacilli; Lactobacillales; Streptococcaceae.